Molecule: ribosomal RNA, 490 nt
Filed under: uncultured soil bacterium
Lineage: Bacteria
Description: bacterial SSU rRNA
Rfam family: Bacterial small subunit ribosomal RNA
Source: RNAcentral
AGAGUGAACGCUGGCGGCAGGCCUAACACAUGCAAGUCGAACGGCAGCACAGGAGAGCUUGCUCUCUGGGUGGCGAGUGGCGGACGGGUGAGGAAUACGUCGGAAUCUGCCUAUUUGUGGGGGAUAACCUCGGGAAACCGGACUAAUACCGCAUACGACCUACGGGUGAAAGCGGAGGACCUUCGGGCUUCGCGCAGAUAGAUGAGCCGACGUCGGAUUAGCUAGUUGCGGGUAAAGCCACAAGGCGACGAUCCGUAGCUGGUCUGAGAGGAUGAUCAGCCACACUGGAACUGAGACACGGUCCAGACUCUACGGAGGCAGCAGUGGGAAUAUUGGACAAUGGGCGCAAGCCUGAUCCAGCCAUGCCGCGUGUGUGAAGAAGGCCUUACGGUUGUAAAGCUACGUUUUUGUUUAGGGAAGAAAGACACGUGGUUAAUAACCCUGGUGUCAUUAGACGGUAACCCAAAGAAUAAGCAACCGGCUAACUCGU